RNAcentral lists this ribosomal RNA (317 nucleotides) under Amblyomma lepidum. RNAcentral's name for it is "partial small subunit ribosomal RNA". Lineage: Eukaryota; Metazoa; Arthropoda; Arachnida; Ixodida; Ixodidae. The record is from RNAcentral.
UAUAUUGCAAGUAAAUACAAUUUAUGAAAGCAAAAAAUUAUGGCGGUACUUUAAGCUUUUCAGAGGAAUUUGCUCUGUAAUGGAUAAAACACCUAAAUCUUACUAAAAUUUGUUAAAUCAGUUUGUAUACCACUAUUAAAGUAGUAUUUCAUAACUAUUACUUAAAUUUUUUUAAAAAAAAUAAAUUAAGUCAAGGUGCAGCAAAAGUUUUAGGAUGAAGUGAAUUACAAUUCUUUUUAGUUUUUAAAAUUUUUUUAAAAAAAUUUUAAAAUAGGAUUUGAAAGUAAAAAAUCAAUAGUAUGGCUUUUGAAUAAAAC